Molecule: long non-coding RNA, 249 nt
Filed under: Elaeis guineensis (African oil palm)
Lineage: Eukaryota; Viridiplantae; Streptophyta; Magnoliopsida; Arecales; Arecaceae
Description: long non-coding RNA (EGUI_LNC065365)
Source: RNAcentral
GCAGAGUCUUCCUGUAAUUGAAGUCAGGGGCGAAGUUCGGCUCCCGUAGGAGUCCGGACGAAGCUUACCAAUGGUUGAAGUUGGUGACAGAGCCCAGCUCCUGUAGGAGUCCGGGCGGAGUCCGCUUGCAGUCGGAGUUGUGGGUGGAGUCCGACUCCCGUAGGAGUCCGGACGAGGUCUGUCUGCAUCCGAAGUCGGGGACGAGGCCCGGCUCCCGUAAGGGUCCGAGCAGAGUCUUCCUACAAUUAA